GACGAACGCUGGCGGCGUGCUUAACACAUGCAAGUCGAACGGAAAGGCCCUGCUUUUGUGGGGUGCUCAAGUGGCGAACGGGUGAGUAACACGUGAGUAACCUGCCCUUGACUUUGGGAUAACUUCAGGAAACUGGGGCUAAUACCGGAUAGGAGCUCCUGCUGCAUGGUGGGGGUUGGAAAGUUUCGGCGGUUGGGGAUGGACUCGCGGCUUAUCAGCUUGUUGGUGGGGUAGUGGCUUACCAAGGCUUUGACGGGUAGCCGGCCUGAGAGGGUGACCGGCCACAUUGGGACUGAGAUACGGCCCAGACUCCUACGGGAGGCAGCAGUGGGGAAUAUUGCACAAUGGGCGGAAGCCUGAUGCAGCAACGCCGCGUGCGGGAUGACGGCCUUCGGGUUGUAACCCGCUUUCGCCUGUGACGAAGCGUGAGUGACGGUAAUGGGUAAAGAAGCACCGGCUAACUACGUG
Molecule: ribosomal RNA, 468 nt
Filed under: uncultured bacterium
Lineage: Bacteria
Description: partial 16S ribosomal RNA
Rfam family: Bacterial small subunit ribosomal RNA
Source: RNAcentral